RNAcentral lists this transfer RNA (44 nucleotides) under Martes americana caurina. Its description in RNAcentral is "partial tRNA-Leu". Lineage: Eukaryota; Metazoa; Chordata; Mammalia; Carnivora; Mustelidae. The record is from RNAcentral.
ACUUUUAAAGGAUAGUAGUAAUCCGUUGGUCUUAGGAACCAAAA